AUAAUCUUAAGUAGAUAAUUGAUGCAAUCAACAUAUACCAUUUAGUACCAUACAUGCAAGAAUGCUAUAAUACCAACAUGCUCAAAAGAAGUGACAUAGACAUAGAAAGAGACUCGGUGUUUUCGGAUAGCACCCCCCACAUCUAAUGGUCGUGUAGGUGUAGAAUAUGACGAUUCCCGAACUUUAUGAAAGCCGAUCCCGCGUCCUAUAACCAAAAUAGUGCCAUAUUAGGCCUUUUGUACAUAAACUAUAUUUAAACAUUUUCGUAACGUCGAACGGAGUUGUCAUGCCCCGGGACCGGCGGAGGCCCUCCCGGUAGCGCGCCCAGACCCGCCAUAUGUUUACACAUAUAAGGCGUCAAGAAUAGAAGCGGAAAUAAAAGCAAGAAAUAUAGCCGAAAGGAAAUAGCAAAACUAAUGAUAUCAGAGCAGUAUGAUUCUAACAUCUCUAACAACAAGAAAAGAAACAUAACUGAACAAUAAAGGUAACCAUGAAGUAGUACAAUAUCGGCCUCAAAGUACAAAACGGGUGAUCUCUAAUACAUUGGUACAACUCUCAAUCUCUCACAAAAAGAAAUAAAGAGAGGUGGGCCACCUAUAGAAUGAUCCCUCGGCGAAGAACACUAACCCGAGGCGAUACCCUUUCCGCGAUCCCUUGCCUCCCCCUGCGUGGAAGGCUCUGAAAAAUAUCGAGAAAAAGAGGGCGUGAGAACUAUAAUUUAUAGUUCCCAGUGGGCAAUUACUGACCUCAGCUCUAUGCACCACUAGGCCCCAAGAGGAAAGGGGUAAGUACUAUAAGCAAUAAUAAUAAAGAUAACUGCAAUAGGAAAGCUUAAUGGAAUGCUAAGCUACAAUGUCUCAAGUAAACAUGAUGUAAGUAUGAUGUACAUCUACUCUAUCAUAAGCAAGUACGUCCAAUGGCAACAAAUGUUACGGUCCAGUAUGUCAUACAUAAAGAAUAGCUCUAUCAAGCAACCGAGUAUACUAUGAAGCAAUGCAUGAAACAGGCAAGUAUACUAUAUAUCCCAAUGCUAUGUCCCGAGCAUGUCAAAGUAAUCCAACUACUAAGCCUAUCUAGUAGUGAUUAUAACACACUUAACACUGUGUCGAUUUUCAUUUCCAAUUAAGGGCCUACCCAUGGUAGUCCAGCUUGUGCCGCCUAAGUGCCUGUGGUAGCACAACAUUCCCACUCUUGGAAUGUGUCUGUCCCACUCGACCCCGUAGGCUUCUCAAUACCGCACGAGCGAACAUAAGUCGCGUAGGCUAACUCCGGAGUGCUGGCUUGUAGGGAGCGACCCUCACAAACAUGUGCGAAUGAGCACAAAUGGCAAGCAAGCAUAGUCAACGUCUCAAGUAUCCAAUCAUCAUGUCUCUAAUAUGGUAUAGUCACUAGCAUCUCGAAGAUCUAGUUCUAAGUCACAAAUGAAGUUCCAAUGUUCUCUAGGUCUAGUGCCCCUUUAUGACACUUAGACAUUCAAUAUUUAAGCAUGUUCCACAUUCCUCAAUGGCCUUAUCCACU
This 1518-nucleotide long non-coding RNA is filed under the name Ananas comosus (pineapple). RNAcentral's name for it is "long non-coding RNA (ACOM_LNC035926)". Lineage: Eukaryota; Viridiplantae; Streptophyta; Magnoliopsida; Poales; Bromeliaceae. The record is from RNAcentral.